This 23-nucleotide small nuclear RNA is filed under the name Arabidopsis thaliana (thale cress). RNAcentral describes it as "snRNA_18948". Lineage: Eukaryota; Viridiplantae; Streptophyta; Magnoliopsida; Brassicales; Brassicaceae. The record is from RNAcentral.
UGCCGCUCACGCCCGGUCGUACU